Molecule: ribosomal RNA, 492 nt
Filed under: uncultured bacterium
Lineage: Bacteria
Description: partial 16S ribosomal RNA
Rfam family: Bacterial small subunit ribosomal RNA
Source: RNAcentral
AGUGAACGCUGGCGGUAGGCCUAACACAUGCAAGUCGAACGGCAGCACAGUAAGAGCUUGCUCUUACGGGUGGCGAGUGGCGGACGGGUGAGGAAUACAUCGGAAUCUACUUUUUCGUGGGGGAUAACGUAGGGAAACUUACGCUAAUACCGCAUACGACCUACGGGUGAAAGCAGGGGAUCUUCGGACCUUGCGCGAUUGAAUGAGCCGAUGUCGGAUUAGCUAGUUGGCGGGGUAAAGGCCCACCAAGGCGACGAUCCGUAGCUGGUCUGAGAGGAUGAUCAGCCACACUGGAACUGAGACACGGUCCAGACUCCUACGGGAGGCAGCAGUGGGGAAUAUUGGACAAUGGGCGCAAGCCUGAUCCAGCAAUACCGCGUGGGUGAAGAAGGUCUUCGGGUUGUAAAGCCCUUUUGUUGGGAAAGAAAAGCAGCAGGUUAAUACCCCGCUGUUCUGACGGUACCCAAAGAAUAAGCACCGGCUAACUUCGUG